This 240-nucleotide unclassified non-coding RNA is filed under the name Hevea brasiliensis (rubber tree). Lineage: Eukaryota; Viridiplantae; Streptophyta; Magnoliopsida; Malpighiales; Euphorbiaceae. The record is from RNAcentral.
CGCCUGAAGGGUGAUGCCAAGGCGAAAGCGGCUGCGGAGGGCGCGCGCACUGUUCCGCCGCGCGAGCAUGGCGGCAACUGCGACAUUAAGGAUUUGUCGCGCGGUUCGAAGAUCUACUUCCCGGUCUAUGUUUCGGGCGCGGGUCUUUCGAUGGGCGAUCUUCACUUCAGUCAGGGUGACGGCGAAAUCACCUUCUGCGGCGCCAUCGAGAUGGCCGGCUGGCUGCACAUCAAGGUCGAU